CGUGGGUAACCUGCCCAAGAAAUCGGGAUAACACCUGGAAACAGAUGCUAAUACCGGAUAAUAACAGAUGAUGCCUAUCAACUGUUUAAAAGAUGGUUCUGCCAUCACUCUUGGAUGGACCUGCGGUGCAUUAGCUAGUUGGUAGGGUAACGGCCUACCAAGGCGAUGAUGCAUAGCCGAGUUGAGAGACUGAUCGGCCACAUUGGGACUGAGACACGGCCCAAACUCCUACGGGAGGCAGCAGCC
Molecule: ribosomal RNA, 246 nt
Filed under: uncultured Lactobacillus sp.
Lineage: Bacteria; Bacillati; Bacillota; Bacilli; Lactobacillales; Lactobacillaceae
Description: partial 16S ribosomal RNA
Rfam family: Bacterial small subunit ribosomal RNA
Source: RNAcentral